AGUGAACGCUGGCGGUAGGCCUAACACAUGCAAGUCGAACGGCAGCACAGUAAGAGCUUGCUCUUACGGGUGGCGAGUGGCGGACGGGUGAGGAAUACAUCGGAAUCUACUUUUUCGUGGGGGAUAACGUAGGGAAACUUACGCUAAUACCGCAUACGACCUACGGGUGAAAGCAGGGGAUCUUCGGACCUUGCGCGAUUGAAUGAGCCGAUGUCGGAUUAGCUAGUUGGCGGGGUAAAGGCCCACCAAGGCGACGAUCCGUAGCUGGUCUGAGAGGAUGAUCAGACACACUGGAACUGAGACACGGUCCAGACUCCUACGGGAGGCAGCAGUGGGGAAUAUUGGACAAUGGGCGCAAGCCUGAUCCAGCCAUACCGCGUGGAUGAAGAAGGCCGUCGGGUUGUAAAGCCCUUUUGUUGGGAAAGAAAAGCAGCAGGUUAAUACCCCGCUGUUCUGACGGUACCCAAAGAAUAAGCACCGGCUAACUUCGUG
Molecule: ribosomal RNA, 492 nt
Filed under: uncultured bacterium
Lineage: Bacteria
Description: partial 16S ribosomal RNA
Rfam family: Bacterial small subunit ribosomal RNA
Source: RNAcentral